AGAUUAAGCCAUGCAUGUCUCAGUAUAAGCUUCUAUACGGCGAAACUGCGAAUGGCUCAUUAAAACAGUUAUAGUUUAUUUGGUGGUCAGCAAUUACAUGGAUAACCGUGGUAAUUCUAGAGCUAAUACAUGCGUCCAAACCCGACUUCGUGGAAGGGUUGUGUUUAUUAGAUACAGAACCAACCCAGGCUCCGCCUGGCCUUGAGGUGAUUCAUAAUAACCGAACGAAUCGCAUGGCUAUGCCGGCGAUAGACCAUUCAAGUUUCUGACCUAUCAGCUAUCGUCGGUAGGGUAUUGGCCUACCGUGGCAAUGACGGGUAACGGAGAAUUAGGGUUCGAUUCCGGAGAGGGAGCCUGAGAAACGGCUACCACAUCUAAGGAAGGCAGCAGGCGCGCAAAUUACCCAAUCCUGACGCAGGGAGGUAGUGACAAGAAAUAACAAUACAGGGCAUACAUGUCUUGUAAUUGGAAUGAGUAAACUUUAAAUCACUUUACGAGUAUCAAUUGGAGGG
Molecule: ribosomal RNA, 512 nt
Filed under: uncultured eukaryote
Lineage: Eukaryota
Description: SSU rRNA
Rfam family: Eukaryotic small subunit ribosomal RNA
Source: RNAcentral